GUGGCGGGCGCCUGUAGAGCCAGAUACUUGGGAGGAUGAGGCAGGAGAAUGGUGUGAACCCGGGAGGCGGAGCUUGCAGUGAGCCGAGAUCGCCCCACUGCACUCCAGGCUCGGUGACAGAGUGAGACUCUGUCUCAAAGAAAAAAAAAAAAAAAGAUUCCAACCCUUUUCUUAAGUGUCAGUCUGUUAAGUUGUGCUCUCAAAUGGUUCCUGGUUCUUUUCAUGCCCUUUCCCCAGGAAUG
RNAcentral lists this long non-coding RNA (242 nucleotides) under Homo sapiens (human). RNAcentral's name for it is "non-protein coding lnc-TRIML2-8:1". The record is from RNAcentral. Lineage: Eukaryota; Metazoa; Chordata; Mammalia; Primates; Hominidae.